GACGAACCGUACGCACGUUACUCGGAAUUACUGGGCUUAAAGGGUGCGUAGGCUGCGCGGUAAGUUGGGUGUGAAAGCCCUCAGCUCAACUGAGGAAUUGCACUCAAAACUACCGUGCUCGAGGGAGACAGCGGUAAGCGGAACUCAAGGUUGAGCGGUGAAAUGCGUUGAUAUCUUGAGGAACACCGGGGGCGAAGGCGGCUUACUGGGUCUCUUCUGACGCUGAGGCACGAAAGCUAAGGUAGCAAACGGGAGUAGAUACCCCGGUAGUCUUAGCUGUAAACGAUGAGCACUUGAUUGAAGGGUCCUCCAUAGCCUUUCAGUCGUAGCGAAAGUGUUAAGUGCUCCGCCUGGGGAGUAUGGUCGCAAGGCUG
Molecule: ribosomal RNA, 374 nt
Filed under: uncultured prokaryote
Description: bacterial SSU rRNA
Rfam family: Bacterial small subunit ribosomal RNA
Source: RNAcentral